This 552-nucleotide long non-coding RNA is filed under the name Marmota monax (woodchuck). The record is from RNAcentral. Lineage: Eukaryota; Metazoa; Chordata; Mammalia; Rodentia; Sciuridae.
AAACACUGAAUCUACUUGGAGAUGAGAGAAACUCACUCUGAAAAAUAACAGGCAUGUUUGAAACGGCCCUGAAAUGUGUGCGUGUGUCUCUACGACUGCCAAGAACGCACAGAGGACAGCCGGCUGCUUCCCUGGGCCAGUGAAGGGGCUCUGGAAACAGCUCUGUUGGUAGGAGUGAGGAGAGCAGCUUCAGGAGGCCAACCCCGUGUGCCUGCAGAGGGGGUUGAGGACGGAGAGAAACCCCUCUCGGAUCUUGCCUGGCAGGUGCCGUCAAACCUGGCUGCUGAGGACAGUCUGCAGGCGAGGUUCAUGGUGGUGCCCGGUGCUCUGAAAGGAGGGCUGAUGGGAAGUGGCAGAGUGAUGUUUUGGGACUUCUGAGGUCAGGGCAGAAAAAGCCUUUUAGCUCCUGCCUGGGGCCAAACCUGGAGAAGAAUGAGACUUCACCCCUCCAUGGGAGCAGUAGCCAAGAAUGGGCAGCCAUUUUAAAUUUGCCACACCAAGUGACUCUUUAUCCAGGCUGGCUGAAAAAAGAGGGAGUCCUUGGGAAUCUCC